This is an RNA transcript of Coregonus clupeaformis (lake whitefish), 1576 nucleotides long. It is a transcript of the gene named heterogeneous nuclear ribonucleoprotein D, with no coding region annotated. The transcript is spliced from 9 exons. Lineage: Eukaryota; Metazoa; Chordata; Actinopteri; Salmoniformes; Salmonidae. The record is from RefSeq and is a predicted model, not a curated record.
AACGCAAACAAGACAGACGAGAGACAGUCAGCAGUUGCAGUACGCUCGCACUAGCACGCAACAUCGACAGCAGCCAGCUGAUUAGCUAGCUACCGUUAGCUAGUUAGCAAUUUGUGCAACAUCAAAAAUGUCGGAGGACCUUGAAACCGGCGAAGAUCCAACUGUGGUGAAAAUGGAGGAGGACGGAGAGGCUAGCACCGAAGAACAGACGCCGACGGUUACAGAGGGAGGCCAGGCAGGAGAAUCCGAGGGAUCAAAGAUUGAUGCCAGCAAAAACGAAGAGGAUGAGGGGAAAAUGUUUGUUGGUGGUCUGAGCUGGGACACAACAAAGAAGGAUUUGAAGGAUUACUUCUCCAAGUUUGGGGAGGUGGUAGACUGCACCCUGAAGCUUGACCCCAUGACAGGCCGAUCCCGGGGGUUCGGCUUUGUCCUGUUUAAAGCAGCUAACAGCGUUGAUAAGGUGGUCUUACAGAAGGACCACAAGCUGAAUGGGAAGGUGAUCGACCCUAAGAAGGCCAAGGCCAUGAAGAACAAGGAGCCCAUCAGAAAGGUCUUUGUAGGAGGUCUUUCUCCAGACACUCCAGAGGAGAAGAUCAGAGAAUACUUUGGUGCCUUUGGAGAGGUGGAGUCCAUUGAGCUCCCCAUGGAAACAAAAACCAACAAGAGACGAGGCUUCUGCUUCAUCACCUUCAAAGAGGAGGAGAGAGUGAAGAAGAUCAUGGAGAAAAAGUACCAUAAUAUAGGAUUAAGCAAGUGUGAGAUUAAGGUAGCCAUGUCCAAGGAGCAGUACCAGCAGCAGCACUGGGGGGGAGGAGGCAGAGGGGGAUACCCCUCCAGGCCUCCAGGCAGACAGGGACCCAAUCAGAAUUGGAACCAGGGAUAUGGCAACUACUGGAACCAAGGUUACGGCAACAACUACGGCAAUUAUGGCUACAACAACCAAGGCUACGGUGGCUAUGAUUACUCUGGUUACAACAACUAUUACGGCGGAUAUGGUGACUACAGCACAGACCAGCAGGGUGGUUACGGGAAGUCCCCCAGGCGAGGUGGUCACCAAAACAAUUACAAGCCGUAUUGAUGUAACAGAAGUUCCACACACAGCGGAGCUUCCUUGCAGGCCAUGAGCUGACCUCCCCGGUACUCUCUGGCCCGCUCAAUGCGGACCGGGUACGAGAGGCGUACGCUCUCGAAUGCUGCCAUUUGGAUGGAAGAUUGAAGGAUAUCUUCUGAAGGAGCGUUGGCAGACGAAGUGACAGGUUUCAGUCAAGAGUUUCCUUUAUUAUGGACGGUUUGAGACAGGACAAAGUCAGAGUAUUCAGUUGAUCUACGUACAUUGAAUUUAUGUUCAGUGUUGUAUUUUGUUGUUUCUUGCAAAGCUUUUAAAAGUUUCCUAUUCGUCUUGUAUUGAGUUGUACUGUAUGAAAGGAAUAUAUGCAGAAUUAUAUUUAAGAGUUGAUUAGUCACUUACGCUCAGUGUUAUCCCUUUUGUUAAAUGUGUGUUAUAUUCUACAGUGAGGGAAAAAAGUAUUUGAUCCCCUGCUGAUUUUGUACGUUUGCCCACUGACAAAGAAAUGAU